GAUGAACGCUAGCUACAGGCUUAACACAUGCAAGUCGAGGGGCAGCAUUUUAGUUUGCUUGCAAACUAAAGAUGGCGACCGGCGCGCGGGUGAGUAACACGUAUCCAACCUGCCGAUAACUCGGGGAUAGCCUUUCGAAAGAAAGAUUAAUAUCCGAUGGUAUAUUAAAACCGCAUGGUUUUACUAUUAAAGAAUUUCGGUUAUCGAUGGGGAUGCGUUCCAUUAGUUUGUUGGCGGGGUAACGGCCCACCAAGACUACGAUGGAUAGGGGUUCUGAGAGGAAGGUCCCCCACAUUGGAACUGAGACACGGUCCAAACUCCUACGGGAGGCAGCAGUGAGGAAUAUUGGUCAAUGGACGAGAGUCUGAACCAGCCAAGUAGCGUGAAGGAUGACUGCCCUAUGGGUUGUAAACUUCUUUUAUAUGGGAAUAAAGUAUUCCACGUGUGGGAUUUUGUAUGUACCAUAUGAAUAAGGAUCGGCUAACUCCGUGCCAGCAGCCGCGGUAAUACGGAGGAUCCGAGCGUUAUCCGGAUUUAUUGGGUUUAAAGGGAGCGUAGGUGGAUUGUUAAGUCAGUUGUGAAAGUUUGCGGCUCAACCGUAAAAUUGCAGUUGAAACUGGCAGUCUUGAGUACAGUAGAGGUGGGCGGAAUUCGUGGUGUAGCGGUGAAAUGCUUAGAUAUCACGAAGAACUCCGAUUGCGAAGGCAGCUCACUAGACUGCAACUGACACUGAUGCUCGAAAGUGUGGGUAUCAAACAGGAUUAGAUACCCUGGUAGUCCACACAGUAAACGAUGAAUACUCGCUGUUUGCGAUAUACAGUAAGCGGCCAAGCGAAAGCAUUAAGUAUUCCACCUGGGGAGUACGCCGGCAACGGUGAAACUCAAAGGAAUUGACGGGGGCCCGCACAAGCGGAGGAACAUGUGGUUUAAUUCGAUGAUACGCGAGGAACCUUACCCGGGCUUAAAUUGCAUUUGAAUAAUCUGGAAACAGGUUAGCCGUAAGGCAAAUGUGAAGGUGCUGCAUGGUUGUCGUCAGCUCGUGCCGUGAGGUGUCGGCUUAAGUGCCAUAACGAGCGCAACCCUUAUCUUUAGUUACUAACAGGUCAUGCUGAGGACUCUAGAGAGACUGCCGUCGUAAGAUGUGAGGAAGGUGGGGAUGACGUCAAAUCAGCACGGCCCUUACGUCCGGGGCUACACACGUGUUACAAUGGGGGGUACAGAAGGCAGCUACCUGGUGACAGGAUGCUAAUCCCAAAAACCUCUCUCAGUUCGGAUCGAAGUCUGCAACCCGACUUCGUGAAGCUGGAUUCGCUAGUAAUCGCGCAUCAGCCAUGGCGCGGUGAAUACGUUCCCGGGCCU
This 1359-nucleotide ribosomal RNA is filed under the name uncultured bacterium. Its description in RNAcentral is "bacterial SSU rRNA". It matches the Rfam family "Bacterial small subunit ribosomal RNA", at positions 28 to 1381 of the family's 1533-position model. The record is from RNAcentral.